UGUCCCAUGGCUAAGUUGGUUAAGGCGGUCGACUGUUAAUCGGACGGUCGUGAGUUCGAGUCUCACUGGGACAG
RNAcentral lists this transfer RNA (74 nucleotides) under Kwoniella heveanensis CBS 569. RNAcentral describes it as "tRNA-Asn (GTT) (tRNA-Asn-GTT-1 1 to 3)". It matches the Rfam family "tRNA". Rfam says of the family: Transfer RNA (tRNA) molecules are approximately 80 nucleotides in length. Their secondary structure includes four short double-helical elements and three loops (D, anti-codon, and T loops). RNAcentral also lists the same sequence under 1 other name. The record is from RNAcentral. Lineage: Eukaryota; Fungi; Basidiomycota; Tremellomycetes; Tremellales; Cryptococcaceae.